Molecule: ribosomal RNA, 1375 nt
Filed under: Pimpla luctuosa
Lineage: Eukaryota; Metazoa; Arthropoda; Insecta; Hymenoptera; Ichneumonidae
Description: 16S ribosomal RNA
Source: RNAcentral
UUUAAAAUAUAAAUUUUUAUUAAAUUUGUAGUAUAAAUAUAUUAAUAAAUUUAAAAUUUUAUAAAAAAUAGAUUAAAAAAAGUAUUUUUAAAUUAGAAAAUUUUAGUAAAAUUAAGAAAAAAUUAAAUGUUAAGAGAAGUAUAAAAAUAGAAAUAAUAAGAUAUUUUAGAGUUAAAUAAAUAAAAAAAAAAAUAAUUUUUUGUACCUUUUGUAUCAGGGUUAAUUUAAAUUUUUAAUGUAAAAUUAAUUUUCGAAUUAAUAAGAUUUAAAUAUAAAUAAUAGUUAAUGUAAAAAAAUUAUUAUAAAUUUAUAUUUGGGAAAGAAAUUUUAGUCGGGUAUUGUGAUAUCUAAUAAUUUGAUAAAUGAAUUUAAUUCAGAUAAAUUAAUAUAAUUUUUUUAUAAAUUAAAAUUUUAUAAAUUAUUAAUUUAUUAAAGAUUUUAGGGUAAGCUUAAAAUUUAUUUUAUAAAUUAUUAAAGAUUUUAAUAUUUAUAUAUUAAUUAAAGUUUUUAUUUUUAAUAUAAAUGUAAUAAUUUAAAAUUUAAGAUUUUAAUUAAAUUAAUUUUUUAAAUAAUUAUUAAAUUAAUUUGAUAAAUUAAAUAUUAAGUAAAAUAAUGAUUAAAUUAGUAUAUAAUUUUUAUAAAAAAUUAAAAUUUAUAAAAUUUAAUUUUAAGGAAUUAGGCAAGAUAUAAAUAAAUAAUAUUAUUUAAAUAAAUUCACCUGUUUAACAAAAACAUGUCUUUAAGAAUUUAAUUUAAAGUCAAAUCUGCUCAAUGAUUUAAUUAUUAAAUAGCUGCAGUAUUUUGACUGUACAAAGGUAGCAUAAUCAAUAGUUUUUUAAUUUAAAGCUGGAAUGAAUGAUUUGAUGAGAUUUAAACUGUCUCAAAAUUAAAAAUAGAAUUUUUUUUAUUAAUUAAAAAAUUAAUAUGAAUUUAAAAGACGAGAAGACCCUAUAGAAUUUUAUUUAUUUAAAAUUAAAUAAAAAAAAAUUAUUAUAUUAAUUAAUAUUAAUUAAAUUUGAUUGGGGAGAUUAUUAAAUUUAAAUAACUUUAAUUAAAAAUAAACAAAAAUAAAUGAAUGGUUGAUCUUGAAUUUUAGAUUGAAAGAAAUAAUUACCUUAGGGAUAACAGCGUAAUUUUAUUGGAUAGUUCAUAUUAAUAAUAAAGUUUGCGACCUCGAUGUUGAAUUAAGAUAAAAUUUAAAUGGAAAAGUUUAAAAUUUUUGGUCUGUUCGACCAUUAAAAUCUUACAUGAUUUGAGUUCAGAUCGGUGUGAGCCAGAUCGGUUUCUAUCUUUAAAAAAAAAUAAAUUAUUUUGUACGAAAGGACUAAUAAUUUUUAAUAAUUAAUAAGAAUUGAAUAAUUUUAAUAAAAAUAAU